CAAGAAAUAGUUUAAAAAAUAUUAAUUUUGGAGAUUAAAGAUAGAGCAGUGCUUUUUUCUUGA
RNAcentral lists this transfer RNA (63 nucleotides) under Puliciphora borinquenensis. Its description in RNAcentral is "tRNA-Pro". Lineage: Eukaryota; Metazoa; Arthropoda; Insecta; Diptera; Phoridae. The record is from RNAcentral.